CCUACUAAUGAUGCAGAGAGGAUUAUCAUGGUUCCUACACAAGGAUGAUAUGCAAAUUAAUUAAGUGUUCCAUUUAAGG
This is a small nuclear RNA of Macaca nemestrina (pig-tailed macaque), 79 nucleotides long. NCBI's taxonomy places the organism in Eukaryota, Metazoa, Chordata, Mammalia, Primates, Cercopithecidae. The record is from Ensembl.